CGUCUUUAUAUAUUUUCAUGACAUGAUUUAUGUGCCAUAGCCUACAUGCAUCGAUAAGAACUAUACAUCAUACGUUCAUGCACGCAUAAAAUGGAAUUGCCAAUGUCCGAGCCUUGAGCUGAUGCUGAGCCCGGCGACAAUCACCGAGGUGUCUCGUAUCGUCUACCACGGGUUCGCUUUCGUCCCGGUGCCCACCUCGGCCGCCGCGACAUUGCACCUGGCGCUUGCCUCGCAGGUGAUUCCGGGAACACCUCCCACGUGUCGCCUUCAUCAAUGGGGCACCUGUCACCUUGUCCUUCCAGAAUGUGGACAGUCAGUAGAGAAUUGUAUGCGUGUCCUACCUGGGUCAGUUCACCUCAGAGGCAGGGAUUGAACUGCAGUCAGAUGAAACGUAAAGGUGGCUGGCCAAAGGGAAAGAAGAGGCAACCUCCGAGAGAGUUAACUGUCCCCAGAGUUCCAACAACAGGGUGAGAGAUGCACACACACACAUCCACACAUAAACACACUUGUUUAUUGGGAGAGGAGAUGUUACUCUCAUUGCGAAGAGCUCUAUUAUAUAUGUGUGUGUGUGUGUGUGUGUGUGUGUGUGUGUGUGUGUGUGUGUGUGUGUGUGUGUGCAAUGCCCGUGUAGUGUGUUACAUAGUGUCUAGGGUGUAGUAGUUAUGUAAUUAGAUGUGCUCUAAGAUGAUUGCUGUUGGUGGUUGUUGUUGUCAGGAGGACUCUUGGGAGGCUCUUGGGAGGCCCUCACAGGUCUGUAUGUGUGUACAUGUCUGCAUGUGUGUGUACAUAUGUUCCUGUGCAAUAUGCAAUAUCGUUCUCUGCAAGUGUUUUUUUUGUUGUAAGCUGAUGCAAUAGCAGUGUUUCACCAGUAAGUGGCUGUAUAGGGUUCAAGUCAGUUGUGUUCUCUUUUCAAAGUGCUGUUGAGAAUGCUUAUUGUGUUCUAUGUUUUUUUGAAAGCUUUGUGUGUGUUUCUGCUCAGAGGAGUUUGAGAAGGACAGAGGCAGCCGGCAGCAGGCUCCAGGGAUGGAGAGAAGCCCUGUGGGUGAGGAAGAGGAGGCAGAGUUGGCUCGUACGUUGGGUCUGUCCUCGCUGGACAUCAGUGUGCUGCAGGAGCUGCUGCUCAGACACAUACUGACCAGCACUGACCACUAUUUGCCAUGACCACAUUCAUGACUUGGACAAAGCCAAUUUCUAAAAUGGCUGAAGCUGCGGAUCUAUAGCUAACCUCCCCGUCUCGUCUGCCUGGAUCUGUUUUCCCCAGAGCUGAAGACCCGAAUCACGUUCUGCGCAUGUUUUCUUACCUAAAUUUAGAUCUUCUUGAGUUAUACAGUGUUGUUUUGAAUUAUGGACAGUGAGCGAACUUUAGAGCAGUUGGUGGAAACAAUCUGUCGCAUAGUCUACCUGUGUUUAGUUUCUAUCACAGCACAUAUUUUGCCUAGUGGCGCAGGCUAUUGAGUUUUUGCCAAAAAUGUGACCAUUUGCACAAACAACCUGAAGUUCUUAAGAAAUUUGAUUGUUUUCUGUCUUACAGUAACCUUAUACUAUGCUAUUAUGUUUGGUUAUGUUACAUGGAAUCAAUACGUGAUCUUGCAGACAUUGAUUCAGCUUUGAUAUAACUUUAUUAAACAAAUACCAUUUAUGUCAGACUAGCCUGAUCUCUACAAGACUGUGCGACCAUUAGAGGAUCCCGCACAUGCACAGAAGUCGUGAAGAGGGCUCGACAAAACCUACUCCCCCUCAGGAGACUAAAAAGAUUUGGCAUGGGUCCUCAGAUCCUCAAAAGGUUCUACAGCUUCACCAUCGAGAGCAUCACUGCCUGGUAUGGCAACUGUUCGGCCUCCGACCGCAAGGCACUACAGAGGGUAGUGCGUACGGCCCAUUACAUCACUGGGGCAAAGCUUCCUGCCAUCCAGGACUUCUAUACCAGGCGGUGUUAGAGGAAGGCCCUAAAAAAUUGUCAAAGACUCGAGCCACCCUGGAGUAGACUGUUCUCUCUGCUACAGCACAGCAAGCGGUACCGGAGCAUCAAGUCUAGGUCCAAGAGGCUUCUAAACAGCUUCUACCACCAAGCCAUAAGACUCCUGAACAUCUAAUCAAAUGGCUACCCAGACUAUUUGCAUUGCCCACCCCCCACCCCCAUCCCCUCUUUUACCCCGCUGCUACUCUCUGUUAUUAUCUAUGCAUAGUCACUUUAAUAACUCUACCUACAUGUACAUAUUACCUCAAUUACCUUGAUUAACCGGUGCCCCUGCACAGGUACCCAUCUGUAUAUAGUCUUGCUUUUGUUAUUUUACUGCUGCUCUUUAAUUACUUGUUACUUUUAUUUCUUAUUCUUAUUUUUUAUUAUUAUAUAUAUAUUUUUUAACUGCAUUGUUGGUUAGGAGCUUGUAAAUAAGCAUUUCACUGUUGUAUUCGGCUGAUGUGACAAAUACAAUUUGAUUUGAAGCUUCAGGAACUUUAGUGUUGGAAAGAGGGGUCCAGGAAAGUUGGAUCUGCAGCCACUCCGUUCUAACAACCACACUGAAACACUGUCUUUAUUCCUGCACCUCUCUCUCAGUGAGGGACUUUGAGUUGCAGCUCUUGGGAGUGUUUCUGGCCCAGGAGAGGCGGAGCCAAGAUCAGCUGAGGGCGGAGCUAAACAACCUGCAGCUGGGGUUAUGCUCAGGUCAAGGACCAGCUUUCCCAUGACUCCUCACCACUCAAACAACAGUGAAUUAAAGUGUUACUGUCUCC
Molecule: long non-coding RNA, 2733 nt
Organism: Oncorhynchus tshawytscha (Chinook salmon)
Lineage: Eukaryota; Metazoa; Chordata; Actinopteri; Salmoniformes; Salmonidae
Source: Ensembl